UAGAUGCGAGAGUAGAGCAUAUCAAUAAGCGGAGGAAAAGAAACUAACAAGGAUUCCCUUAGUAACGGCGAGUGAAGCGGGAAGAGCUCAAAUUUGAAAUCUUCAAGGUUCUACCUUGACGAAUUGUAGUUUAAAGAAGUGUUUUCUGUUAGAUGAGUAGCAAAAGUUCCUUGGAAUGGGACAUCAUAGAGGGUGAGAAUCCCGUAUUUGGUUAUUCAUUCUAGCUUUGUGAUACACUUUCAAAGAGUCGGAUUGUUUGGGAAUGCAGUCCAAAAUGGGUGGUAAAUUUCAUCUAAAGCUAAAUAUUGGCGAGAGACCGAUAGCGAACAAGUACCGUGAGGGAAAGAUGAAAAGAACUUUGAAAAGAGAGUUAAACAGUACGUGAAAUUGUCAAAAGGGAAGCGUUUGACACCAGUGUUGUUUUUCCGAAAAUCAAUUACGAAUGGCUUGAUUUUGUGUUGUAUUGACCUUAUCAGCUUUCUGCACUUUUUUCGAGUCUUUCUUAAUGCACUUUUCGGUUAACAAGUCAACAUCAAUUUCUUUUGUUGUAAAAGAGUAUUCGGAAGGUGGCUUUCUUUUCGGAGAAAGUGUUUAUAGCCCUAUACUUCUACAAUCGGAGAGAUUGAGGUCUGCAGCGUAGAUCCUUCGGGGUUAGAUACACUUGUGCUAAGUUGUAGCUUUUCAUAGACAACUUGUUGACUAUGUUUAGUCAUGCGGCUUACUCGCUUGUGCUAUUUUACCUACGCUUAGGAUGUUGAGCGCAUGUCUCUCUCU
This 774-nucleotide ribosomal RNA is filed under the name uncultured Neocallimastigales. Its description in RNAcentral is "partial large subunit ribosomal RNA". It matches the Rfam family "Eukaryotic large subunit ribosomal RNA", at positions 22 to 637 of the family's 3401-position model. The record is from RNAcentral. Lineage: Eukaryota; Fungi; Neocallimastigomycota; Neocallimastigomycetes; Neocallimastigales.